Molecule: ribosomal RNA, 1441 nt
Filed under: uncultured organism
Description: 16S ribosomal RNA
Rfam family: Bacterial small subunit ribosomal RNA
Source: RNAcentral
CAGGCUUAACACAUGCAAGUCGAGGGGCAGCAUGGUCUUAGCUUGCUAAGGCCGAUGGCGACCGGCGCACGGGUGAGUAACACGUAUCCAACCUGCCGUCUACUCUUGGACAGCCUUCUGAAAGGAAGAUUAAUACAAGAUGGCAUCAUGAGUCCGCAUGUUCACAUGAUUAAAGGUAUUCCGGUAGACAAUGGGGAUGCGUUCCAUUAUAUAGUAGGCGGGGUAACGGCCCACCUAGUCUUCGAUGGAUAGGGGUUCUGAGAGGAAGGUCCCCCACAUUGGAACUGAGACACGGUCCACACUCCUACGGGAGGCAGCAGUGAGGAAUAUUGGUCAAUGGGCGAGAGCCUGAACCAGCCAAGUAGCGUGAAGGAUGACUGCCCUAUGGGUUGUAAACUUCUUUUAUAAAAGAAUAAAGUCGGGUAUGCAUACCCGUUUGCAUGUACUUUAUGAAUAAGGAUCGGCUAACUCCGUGCCAGCAGCCGCGGGAAUACCGAGGAUCCGAGCGUUAUCCGGAUUUAUUGUGUUUAAAGGGAGCGUACAUGGAUGUUUAAUUCAAUUGUGAAAGUUUGCGGCUCACCCCUAAAAUUGCACUUGAUACUGUAUAUCUUGAGUGCACUUGAUGCAGGCGGAAUUCAUGAUGUAUCGGUGAAAUGCUUAAAUAUCACGAAAAACUCCGAUUGCGAAUGCACCCUGCUAAGCUGCAACUGACAUUGAGGCUCGAAAGUGUGGGUAUCAAACAGGAUUAGAUACCCUGGUAGUCCACACGGUAAACGAUGAAUACUCGCUGUUUGCGAUAUACAGCAAGCGGCCAAGCGAAAGCGUUAAGUAUUCCACCUGGGGAGUACGCCGGCAACGGUGAAACUCAAAGGAAUUGACGGGGGCCCGCACAAGCGGAGGAACAUGUGGUUUAAUUCGAUGAUACGCGAGGAACCUUACCCGGGCUUAAAUUGCAGAUGAAUUACGGUGAAAGCCGUAAGCCGCAAGGCAUCUGUGAAGGUGCUGCAUGGUUGUCGUCAGCUCGUGCCGUGAGGUGUCGGCUUAAGUGCCAUAACGAGCGCAACCCUUGUUGUCAGUUACUAACAGGUUCCGCUGAGGACUCUGACAAGACUGCCAUCGUAAGAUGUGAGGAAGGUGGGGAUGACGUCAAAUCAGCACGGCCCUUACGUCCGGGGCUACACACGUGUUACAAUGGGGGGGUACAGAGGGCCGCUACCACGCGAGUGGAUGCCAAUCCCAAAAACCUCUCUCAGUUCGGACUGGAGUCUGCAACCCGACUCCACGAAGCUGGAUUCGCUAGUAAUCGCGCAUCAGCCACGGCGCGGUGAAUACGUUCCCGGGCCUUGUACACACCGCCCGUCAAGCCAUGGGAGCCGGGGGUACCUGAAGUGCGUAACCGCGAGGAGCGCCCUAGGGUAAAACUGGUGACUGGGGCUAAGUC